CUUGGGGACUGGUCUAGAAGUGUUCUAACCUGAGCGGGCUUGCAACGGACCUUCGGAUUAUCUCCGGCUGAUGCGUGAGGGAUUUUGGAAGCUUAACUUGAGCAGGAUUGAGACCUAGUGGAGCUGAUCCUUGGGA
Molecule: long non-coding RNA, 136 nt
Organism: Ananas comosus (pineapple)
Lineage: Eukaryota; Viridiplantae; Streptophyta; Magnoliopsida; Poales; Bromeliaceae
Exons: 3
Source: RefSeq, a predicted model, not a curated record